RNAcentral lists this ribosomal RNA (322 nucleotides) under uncultured eukaryote. RNAcentral describes it as "partial 18S ribosomal RNA". It matches the Rfam family "Eukaryotic small subunit ribosomal RNA", at positions 1470 to 1796 of the family's 1831-position model. The record is from RNAcentral.
CCCUUAGAUGUUCUGGGCCGCACGCGUGCUACACUGAGUGGAUCAGCGGGUCAGGUUGCGCGAAAGUGUUUCCUAAUCUUGAAAUCCGCUCGUGAUGGGGAUCGACGGUUGCAAUUUUCUGUCAUGAACGAGGAAUACCUUGUAAGCGCGGGUCAUCAUCCCGCGCUGAAUACGUCCCUGCCCUUUGUACACACCGCCCGUCGCUCCUACCGAUUGAGUGGUCCGGUGAGGCUUUGGGAUCUGGAUGGAAAGAGCGUUUCGCUGUUUCUGCCCGGAAAACUCAGUCGAACCUUAUCAUUUAGAGGAAGGAGAAGUCGUAACA